This 850-nucleotide ribosomal RNA is filed under the name Harknessia renispora. RNAcentral's name for it is "eukaryotic LSU rRNA". It matches the Rfam family "Eukaryotic large subunit ribosomal RNA", at positions 66 to 946 of the family's 3401-position model. Lineage: Eukaryota; Fungi; Ascomycota; Sordariomycetes; Diaporthales; Harknessiaceae. The record is from RNAcentral.
CAACAGGGAUUGCCCUAGUAACGGCGAGUGAAGCGGCAACAGCUCAAAUUUGAAAUCUGGCCUCGGCCCGAGUUGUAAUUUGCAGAGGAUGUUUCUGGCGCGGUGCCUUCCGAGUUCCCUGGAACGGGACGCCACAGAGGGUGAGAGCCCCGUAUGGUUGGACACCAAGCCUGUGUGAAACUCCUUCGACGAGUCGAGUAGUUUGGGAAUGCUGCUCUAAAUGGGAGGUAAAUCUCUUCUAAAGCUAAAUACCGGCCAGAGACCGAUAGCGCACAAGUAGAGUGAUCGAAAGAUGAAAAGCACCUUGAAAAGGGGGUUAAACAGUACGUGAAAUUGUUGAAAGGGAAGCGCUCAUGACCAGACUUGUGCCGGGCGGUUCAUCCGGGGUUCUCCCCGGUGCACUCCGCCCGGCUCAGGCCAGCAUCGGUUCUCGUUGGGGGAUAAGAACGGUAGGAACGUGGCCCUCCCUCGGGAGGGUGUUAUAGCCUGCCGUACGAUACCCUGACGGGGACCGAGGUUCGCGCUCCGCAAGGAUGCUGGCGUAAUGGUCAUCAGCGACCCGUCUUGAAACACGGACCAAGGAGUCGUCCAUUAGAGCGAGCGUUUGGGUGUAAAACCCGCACGCGUAAUGAAAGUGAAAUUAGGUGAGAGCUUCGGCGCAUCAUCGACCGAUCCUGAUGUUCUCGGAUGGAUUUGAGUAAGAGUUUUAACGGACGGACCCGAAAGACAGUGAACUAUGCUUGUAUAGGGUGAAGCCAGAGGAAACUCUGGUGGAGGCUCGCAGCGGUUCUGACGUGCAAAUCGAUCGUCAAAUAUGAGCAUGGGGGCGAAAGACUAAUCGAACUGUCUA